This 134-nucleotide non-coding RNA is filed under the name unclassified sequences. RNAcentral describes it as "RT-16 RNA". It matches the Rfam family "RT-16 RNA". From Rfam's summary of the family: candidate division DUSEL4 (Archaea). Nearby to self-splicing intron genes The record is from Rfam by way of RNAcentral.
CCUAGUAACCGUUUUUACGAAGUAAGCUAGGUUACACGCUUAUUUACUAUGGGAGCCCAGCUCUUAUAAAAUACAGUCACGACAUCUAAUGUGUGAAGUGGUGGUGAUAACAAGAAGUAAAUAAGCUAACUUGG